This 363-nucleotide ribosomal RNA is filed under the name uncultured bacterium. RNAcentral's name for it is "bacterial SSU rRNA". It matches the Rfam family "Bacterial small subunit ribosomal RNA", at positions 29 to 380 of the family's 1533-position model. The record is from RNAcentral.
AACGAACGCUGGCGGCGCGCUUAACACAUGCAAGUCGAACGAGAAGGCGUAGCAAUACGCUUGUAAAGUGGCGAACGGGUGAGGAAUACAUGGGGUAACCUACCCUCGAGUGGGGGAUAACCCGCCGAAGGCGGGCUAAUACCGCGUACGCUUCCGAUCUUGCGGGAUCGGAAGGAAAAGCUGUCCCAAGGGGAGUGGCGCUCAAGGAUGGGCUCAUGUCCUAUCAGCUUGUUGGUAGGGUAACGGCCUACCAAGGCAUCGACGGGUAGCUGGUCUGAGAGGACGAUCAGCCACACUGGCACUGCGACACGGGCCAGACUCCUACGGGAGGCAGCAGUGAGGAAUAUUGCGCAAUGGGCGAAA